GACGAACGCUGGCGGCGUGCCUAAUACAUGCAAGUAGAACGCUGAAGAGAGGAGCUUGCUCUUCUUGGAUGAGUUGCGAACGGGUGAGUAACGCGUAGGUAACCUGCCUUGUAGCGGGGGAUAACUAUUGGAAACGAUAGCUAAUACCGCAUAACAAUGGAUGACACAUGUCAUUUAUUUGAAAGGGGCAAUUGCUCCACUACAAGAUGGACCUGCGUUGUAUUAGCUAGUAGGUGAGGUAAUGGCUCACCUAGGCGACGAUACAUAGCCGACCUGAGAGGGGGAUCGGCCACACUGGGACUGAGACACGGCCCAGACUCCUACGGGAGGCAGCAGUAGGGAAUCUUCGGCAAUGGGGGCAACCCUGACCGAGCAACGCCGCGUGAGUGAAGAAGGUUUUCGGAUCGUAAAGUUCUGUUGUAAGUCAAGAACGGGUGUGAGAGUGGAAAGUUCACACUGUGACGGUAGCUUACCAGAAAGGGACGGCUAACUACGUG
Molecule: ribosomal RNA, 497 nt
Filed under: uncultured bacterium
Lineage: Bacteria
Description: partial 16S ribosomal RNA
Rfam family: Bacterial small subunit ribosomal RNA
Source: RNAcentral